CCUACGGGUGGCAGCAGUGAGGAAUAUUGGUCAAUGGGCGGACGCCUGAACCAGCCAAGUCGCGUGAGGGACUAAGGCCCUACGGGUCGUAAACCUCUUUUGCCGGGGAUCAGUGCCCAGCUCGCGAGCUGGGCGGGAGCGUACCCGUAGAAAAAGCCUCGGCUAACUCCGUGCCAGCAGCCGCGGUAAUCCGGAGGAUGCGAGCGUUCUCCGGAUUUAUUGGGUUUAAAGGGUGCGUAGGCGGGCCUUCAGGCCGGCGGUAAAAUUGCGGGGCUCAACCCCGCCGAGCCGUCGGAACCGGGGGCCGUGAGUACCGGAGAAGUACGCGGAAUGCGUGGUGUGGCGGUGAAAUGCAUAGAUAUCACGCAGAACCCCGAUUGCGAAGGCAGCGUACCGGACGGUCACGGACGCUGAGGCACGAAAGCGCGGGUAUCGAACAGGAUUAGAUACCCCGGUAGUC
Molecule: ribosomal RNA, 460 nt
Filed under: uncultured bacterium
Lineage: Bacteria
Description: partial 16S ribosomal RNA
Rfam family: Bacterial small subunit ribosomal RNA
Source: RNAcentral